GUGCGUUUCUCCUUCAGCCAUGAUUCUGAGGCCUCCCCAGCCAUGUGGAACUGAAAGCUUGCAAGAGGUCACUCACGGUGUCUAUGCAUAUCCUAUUUGCCUGCCUCAGCUGGAUGUCAAGAGGAAUGCACCAGCAUUGGAGCACACUGCCUGAUGCCAGCAGGCCAUCAACUGGCUGAAUGACAUGGAGUUUGGCUGGCACAAUCAGAGGAGAGCUGGGCUGCUAAGCAGCUGGACUCUAGGGGAAAACCACCUUCCUACUCCAUCUCCCUGCCGCCUCUCCCAUCUGCUGAGAGCU
Molecule: long non-coding RNA, 298 nt
Organism: Symphalangus syndactylus (siamang)
Lineage: Eukaryota; Metazoa; Chordata; Mammalia; Primates; Hylobatidae
Source: RefSeq, a predicted model, not a curated record